GACGAACGCUGGCGGCGUGCUUAACACAUGCAAGUCGAACGGAAAGGCCCUGCUUUUGUGGGGUGUUCGAGUGGCGAAAGGGUGAGUAACACGUGAGUAACCUGCCCUUGACUUUGGGAUAACUUCAGGAAACUGGGGCUAAUAUCGGAUAGGAGAUCCUGCAGCAUGGGGGGGGUUGGAAAGUUUUGGCGGUUGGGGAUGGAAUCGCGGCUAAUCAGCUUGUUGGUGGGGUAGUGGCGUACCAAGGCAUCGACGGGUAGCCAGCCUGAGAGGGUGACCGGGCACAUAGGGACUAGGACAGGACCAAGACUCAUACGGGAGGCAUCAGUGGGAAAUAUAGCACAAUAGGCGGCGGGCUGAUGCAGCAACGCCGCAUGCGAGAUGACCGCCGUCAGAGUAGAAACCGCUUUCGCCUGUGAAGAUGCUUAAGUGACGGUAAUGGGUAAAGAAGCACCGGCUAACUACGUG
This 468-nucleotide ribosomal RNA is filed under the name uncultured bacterium. RNAcentral's name for it is "partial 16S ribosomal RNA". It matches the Rfam family "Bacterial small subunit ribosomal RNA", at positions 28 to 507 of the family's 1533-position model. The record is from RNAcentral.